AAGUACACCUAAAACGCUCCAAAGUUCCAAGCUUGAAACGCCAAGGACCUUUGUUUUCACCACCUUGUUGCAACACAAGUGUCUAGGAUGUGUAUGGAUAUAUGGAAGGGUUAGGAAUGUAUUUAGGAUUGGUGAAUGUCUCGGCCAAGGGAAGGAAAAUAUAUGGAAUUGUGUUUGAUUUUUGGUUGGAUGAGUGCCACGGCAAGGAAUGAAAGUGUAAGUGUAUGGAAUUGUGAGAUGUGAAAUGUAGUGUCUUUGGAUCAUGGCCCCCAAAUUAUGGUGAAUGGUGGAUGUAUUUAUAGGCUAGGGAGAGGAGUGUAUGGAGUUGUAAUGAGUGGAUGUAAUGGGUGUAGUGGGUGAGUGUUGUGGUAAUGAGUGGAUGUAAUGGGUGUAGUGGAUGAAUGUUGUGGUAAAGAGUGGAUGUAAUGGGUGUAGUGGGUGGAUGUUUGGUAAUGAGUGGAUGUAAUGGGUGUAGUAGAUGAGUGUUUGGUAAUGAGUGGAUGUAAUGGGUGUAGUGGAUGGAUGUUUGGAGUUGUAGGUCAACACACAUGCACACACACAUGCUGAUUUCUAGCCUUCAAAUCUUCAAAAACGUCUAUCCUCAUGUCUCCAUGCUUGCACUAUCCAAUCUUGGCUCAAAAAAUGCUCUAAAAUGCUCCAAAAUGCACUUUCUUGCCAACUUUGUUAUUAUGACCUACAAACACACGGAAAUAGCUUAAAAUACAUAAUUAACUAAGAAAUAACAACACAAAUGCAUAAGAACAAGCUAACUAAGUCGCAUAAAUAUGCUCCUAUCAAAUUCCCCCACACUUAGCUUUUGCUAGUCCUCAAGCAAAACAAAAGAAACAAAAUGAAACAAAACAAACAAAACAAACAAAACACAACCUAAUCUUCCAACAUUUGCCUCAGGGAUUUUCAAUGAAACAUGACAUGCCAAAGAUCACCACUUACAUAGAUUUAAGCAUUCCUUACCCUCAAGCAUACUUAAUCAUAGUCACCAUUCACUAGCUCACAUUUAAUCAAUUAAAACAACAUUUUGAAUAUAGUAACAUGCCUUAGAGAAUUUCCUCAAUUCUUUACUAGAUACACUCUUAUUUUCACACAAGAAUUUCUGACUACACUCUCUAUACUAGGUACAUGUGAGAAGAUUGAUGUAAACAUGAAAACUAGUACUCACGUAUAUGUAUAACAAGAAAGCAUUUUCUGGUAUUAAUAAGCAUGUUUAGAUAUGAUCUCAUGAAUGGAAUGCUACUACGUAGAUGCGAGAACCAAUGACACCAUAUGCUCAUACCAAAUUCAAACUCCACAAAUUGAAACACAUAACACUCAAUAUGAAGUUAAGGGUUGUAAUAGGGCUUGGGGGUAAUAGCUAACAAAGAAAGGAUAGGGAUAACAAACGUUCUUCAAGCGAUAGCAAGCAAAGUAAUGAAAUCGACACUUGGAAUUCACCUUAGAAUGCAAAAAUCAACUUUUAAACACAAAGGGAAGAUUCAAGCAACACUUAGGGCCGAAUUCCAUGUUUUGGACCCUUUCUUCAACAAACAACACUUUAGAGCUCUUUAUCACAACUUUUCUUCUUUUCAUUCUAUUUUCCACGAAUGUUUUUUUUUUUUUCUACCCGUGCCUUAUUAAGGACUUUGGCACACACACACACAAAAGAAUCACUUCCCCCACACUUGUUUUUUUGCAAGAGUUCAACAAAAGGAAUUCCUUCUAAAUUAUGCUUUACUAUGCUUCAAGAACAAGGGUAUGGAUGGUCCUAAUCUAGGCUAGGUGAGGAUAGUGUGGGUAACAAAGAACAUAGGCAACACAAGGCUCAACGGGGUUAAACUUAAACACAUAAUGAAUGGGAUAGGCUUUUUGGCUCUUGGCUCACUAUACAACUUCAUCUUGAAUAUGUGUUAUGCAAAUCAAUAACAUACUUUGAAUGAAAUAGGCAUGAGUUCUAGCAUUUGAAACUAACUGAUGAAACGCCUUCUAAGUAGCAACCAAGCAAAGAAUAAUGAGAUCAUGCAACGACUUUAGAAAACAAUAGUGCACAGAUCAUUAACUCUCCAAAUAAACGUUUAGGCUCAAGUCUCACAAGGUUGUAGCGUUCAUUUGAGUUCUUUCUUUCAAGCAUGUUACAAAAACUGAUUUUUUUUAUUUUUU
Molecule: long non-coding RNA, 2151 nt
Filed under: Malus domestica (apple)
Lineage: Eukaryota; Viridiplantae; Streptophyta; Magnoliopsida; Rosales; Rosaceae
Description: long non-coding RNA (MDOM_LNC016815)
Source: RNAcentral